UUUAAAAGAAGUGGAGGAUCUAUCGGUUUUAUGAGGAAAGAAAAGAUGAGAGGUAUGAUUUUACUACAUGGGAUCAUUGUCAUCCUGAAAAAUGGAGCAGACUCCCUCCAGAUGAUAUUAUACUGUGGAUCAAAAUCUAAAGGGCAGGGGCACCGAGCCUGGCUGAAUGAUUUGCCAGAGAUGCAGAAACUUCUUUGUGAGCUGGAAUUGAAGGAAAGAGAUCCUACACAUAUUCAGAUGUGCCAGCUGUCACUGCUGGAGUUGUCAAAUAGUGAGCCAGAAGAUUCACUCCAUUGUACAACCUCAGCACCGUGAAGGCAGAGCAAAGAAUCAGAAGUUGUCUGGCGACAAAGGUGUUACUCAAAGAAAGCUGACAGCAACAACUCACGGAAGGAUCGAUGGCGGAUUACGAGGCUCAUGGAGCUGCAUAGAGAGGAGGGCUCAGACUGAGGCAGCAGCUCUCAUUAAAGCCCGGCCUGAUCUCAGCCAAGCCCUGGGAAAGGAGGGUGAAAAAGGCAAGAAAAAACAGAGCAGGGAGGAAGAAAAGGGAAAGCUGCAGGAAGAAAAAAACACAGAGAAAAGUUUACUGUCCCCUUUGGACAUGGCCUCUGCUGGACUCUUAUAAAUGGGUAUUGUUCCCCAUGAAGCACACAGCGACUGUUUACAGUUUCCUAUAAAGGAGGGCUUUAUUCCUGCUCAGGGAUGCAUUGUGACAAGAUAAUUUGAAUAGCUGAGGUCUUACCACAAAGCUAUAAACAUUUACGGGCAGUUGACACGGAGAAUAAAGAAUGAGCCACGUAACCUCUGCAAGAUGCCGGCCUGACUCCUGAUGACACAGCCAAAGCUCAGUCGACUACUUCCAAACUCUGCCGCCGUCCUCAACACGCUGGCAGACGGGGCGAGGAGGAGAGACAAACGCAGAGAGGAAAAUGCAAACAAGCACAUAAACAGGAGCAAAAGGAAGACAGAUAACUAAAGAGAGGCGAUGCAGGUCUCCGACGUCCCCUUUGACUCGUUCCACAAUGAAAUGGCGGUGUCUUGUUUUUAUGUUUUAUCACAGAAGUCGACCGCGGGAGCAGACCCACGGGAGCAGCCAGACAUGAGGCUGAAUUCGAUUAGACGGUAAUCGGAGAUGGACAGGCAGUGGUGCAGUCAGCGCCCGCGAGCCGAGGGGACUCCAUAAGCAAACUAUCCCCAUGACUUUCUCGUUUCACGCGAUCCGUCGCGGUGGCCUUUAUGAGUGUUUAUAAUCCACGACUUAGCUGGGUUUCGAGCUUUGUUUUAACUCUCAAAACCAUCCUCUGGAGUGCGCGCAGUAAUAAUAUCAGGACUCAGAUCCAUUAAUGAAUUACCAACCUCAUCUCACUGCUGCUGCCAUCUCCACAGGCUUAAGUAGGGAAACUGAGGUCUUGGGGAAUUAGUCACAUUGGAUUGCAUUUUCUUUGAGACUUUCCCAUCUACACACAAUCUUCCACCUCUCUAUCUUUCCAGCUCUCACUGCUACAAAGUUGUGUUUCCUUUUUCCCUUUUUUCUCCUCGUGCCUUACUUGGCAUUCUGUUCAUUCUCCAAGAUGUUUCCAGCGUAACCAAUGAUUAACAAUUACGCCAGUGCAUCUAAUUAAUGCCGGCUAAUUACGAGGUUGAGAUGCUGACGGGGAAUGGGGGGUAGGACUAGGAGAUUGCAGCAUCAGAAAUAAUCAGGAGAGAAGAAGAGGCUGUAGCAAAAAGCCACAAAAAAACAGAAGAAGAUGAAGAGAGGGAGAAGAUGGGAAACGAGUGUCUUAAUUGGCGUGCUCAGUUUUUGUCUCAGGACCCUGAGCUUAUUACAUUAAAAAAAAAUGGAUAAGUUGUGCAUAAAAUUGUUAUACUCACUCAUCUAAUUUAUUAGCCAUGUGCAUCACAUUAAAGAAAAAAUAAAAGGGAUACACAGGAUGUCUGUUUUCCCACUUCUGAACUGGAUGGGAAUUAAGUUCAAACCACGCGAGGUCCCUGGAGUGGCGGGGAAACGCCAGCCAUAAUUACGUCCAUAAAAUGCCCACAGAUUUUUAAUGUUAAACUAAUUUGCUGUUCAUUUGUCAAGAGCUGGUAAACCGAAAUAGCCAACGCAUGCACGACACACGCACACACACUUCGACCUUUAAUAUAUAUAUAAAUCACACCAACUAACGAUCGCUCUCUCUUCAUUUACCCUGUUUCUUUUUUCCUUCUUUUACAGUCCACACACCAUAGACCUCUGCCCAGUUCCCCACCUCAAGCAAUACUUCAUUGGGAAAAUAGCCAAGAAAAACGAGCUCUCUCCACGGCUCAUAAUGAGGCUGCACGGAGCGUUCAUUAGCAUAGUCAGUGUCUACCGUCCUACAGUAUAUCGGGGCGUUAUGUUCAGUGACGUUUUUAUUCCUACAACUAUUCUGUAAGGGCUCCAUAAUACUGUCCAAGAAAGAAAACACAUCAUAUAUUAAAGGGACAUAAUUCCUGCUUCCUAUUCAAAUGAGCACAUCUGAAGAGAGCAAAGAUGGAAGAGGGGGAAAAAAGAAAAAGGAAAGGGGGGUGGUUGGGGAAUUACCCGGAGAAUAGCAAUUAUAUUCAGAGGAACCAAUUUAGAGUGCAUGUUUGUUGUUUUUUAUCUUUUGGCUCAGAGAAGAGGUAGGAGGCUGCGCAGCUCGGAGCGGUGACACGGGUCCUCCUCAGUCUUCCGAAGUGCAUUAAACUAAAUGAUUGACAAUGAUUGAAACCACAUGGAGCCCGAGGCAAAUUACCAGGGGUGAGACUUCAUUGUGCAGAUCUGCUGCCGAGCUGCUUUCACAAUUCAUGUUUAGAGUGGGGUGGGGGGCUUUCUGCAAAAAGGGAUAUUUGUUAGUCAUACAAAUGUAACAUAAAGUUCAAGAGGAGGACGGCGUAAAGAAACGUUUCCGCAUCCUGUAAGACAGGAUGUAGCUCUCAGUGGGUUGUGAGAGGCUGAGCUAACACUGCGGCCUGCUCAAACACAAUCAGAACAGCAGCAGGUGAAGUCAGGGCCAACAAGCUCGACUCCAGGGAUGUUUGUCAUCGGGUGUUGAACAGGGCGGGUGGCGGUGGUGGGGAAGUGGAGGGGUAUGUUUAGCGCUGUCAAAGCGAGCUAUUUGUGUUUGAGAUGCUGCAUUGAAUAGCGCUUCCACCUGGCAGAACUCAGCCUGAGUGGAUUUCCAUCUAUUUUCCAAGUCCUCACCCUUUUAGUGUCAAGGUAGGAAGCGUUAAGUUCGAUGGGAAUCUUAAAUAGCAAAUCAAUAGCGCGGCAUUUAUUUAUUUAUUUUCAUUCAGGAAGUUGCAUCUUAGUCAAUAUCCUGCAUCAUUCAUCCUCACCUCCAUCUUCCUCGCAGCGCCGUCGAGCCUCGCGUGCACAUCUGACCUCGUUAAGUUCAAAUGAAAAUGUGCAGAAUAAUCAGCGGCUCCCAUCAAAAGCAAACAAAAAAGAGCGAGAGAGAGAGAGAAAUGGGAAAUUUUAGGAGUGUUUCAAGCCCACCCAUGAAAAAUAAACAUUAAAAUUCAAGGAUUGCGUGCAGUCUUUUUUUUGUAAAGCCUUCUCUUUACUUAAAAGUCCAUUAAGUUGUAGCAAGCUGUGAAUGGUGCGCAUUUAAAUGUGAGCAGAGACGCAUAUUAAACCCUUGCUUUUCAUAAGUGACAUUUUUGUUAACGGCAGCUUAAGACUGAUUUCUUUUUGAGUUCGGAGAAGCUGAACUUUGGGCAUUUAGUCGCCGGCUCUCGACAGAAGUAAAUGUCCAGUUAAUUAGUUUCCAGGGUGUACGGGGCAUUUGCAAGCAGGAAGAAGAAAAGGGGGAAAAAAGCAACCGUCAGCUGAGUGUGCUUUUCAAAUUCGUGUAGCAAAUGCCUUGGGGUAGGGUGGCGGGAGCCAGAUGUAGUUG
Molecule: long non-coding RNA, 3899 nt
Organism: Oreochromis niloticus (Nile tilapia)
Lineage: Eukaryota; Metazoa; Chordata; Actinopteri; Cichliformes; Cichlidae
Exons: 5
Source: RefSeq, a predicted model, not a curated record